RNAcentral lists this ribosomal RNA (300 nucleotides) under uncultured archaeon. RNAcentral describes it as "bacterial SSU rRNA". It matches the Rfam family "Archaeal small subunit ribosomal RNA", at positions 337 to 648 of the family's 1478-position model. The record is from RNAcentral.
GGGGGGGCCAUUGCAUGCGGGAACGUGAUAGGGAACUCCGAGUGCCCGUAAAAUCGGGCUGUCCAUCUGUUUAAAUAACAGGUGAAGAAAGGGCCGGGCAAGACCGGUGCCAGCCGCCGCGGUAAUACCGGCGGCUCGAGUGGUGGCCACUAUUACUGGGCUUAAAGCGUUCGUAGCUGGUCUGUUAAGUCUCUGGGGAAAUCUACUGGCUUAACCAAUAGGCGUCUCAGGGAUACUGGCAGACUAGGGACCGGGAGAGGUGAGAGGUACUCCUGGGGUAGAGGUGAAAUCCUGUAAUCC